RNAcentral lists this unclassified non-coding RNA (20 nucleotides) under Mus musculus (house mouse). RNAcentral's name for it is "oocyte_clustered_small_RNA1881". The record is from RNAcentral. Lineage: Eukaryota; Metazoa; Chordata; Mammalia; Rodentia; Muridae.
CAAGUCCGGUAACUCUGUGG